Molecule: long non-coding RNA, 559 nt
Filed under: Prunus dulcis (almond)
Lineage: Eukaryota; Viridiplantae; Streptophyta; Magnoliopsida; Rosales; Rosaceae
Description: sRNA ncRNA
Source: RNAcentral
AUUUUUGGGAAAUGUUCAAUUUAUAGGGGAGACUCUGCCGAAUUUUCGGCAGAAGUCAUACUUGAAUUCCUUUAGAUUUUGGUUAGAAGGGCAAUUUGGUCUUUUGUGCUCGGUAUUAGCCAGGUGUCGGACACGUACAGGGUUUGGCUCAGAUUCCAAAGUGGAAUUUGGGUCGGGUCCUGUUAGUAGGUCCAUACCCGAAAGCCCGACAAAUGCCACCGUUUCAAAUUCCUUCCCUGACAAUUCCAAUAGAAAAAAGGGAGAAACCACCAGCUUCAGGACACCUUGAAGGUCCUCGACAAGCACUCCAUUGACUUCAUCUCUGUCUUGGAGCUCAAGCAUGUCCUCACCAGGAACUGCGAGAACUUGGAGCCAUUUGAGUUGGAUAAGUGCAUCCGGGAGAAAUUGGAGCCAUCUAAGUUCGAGAGGAGUGGACUCGCAGUGUUUUUGAGGUAGACUAUAUGCCACUUUUGGGGUUUACAACCAUGAUUGGAAGAAGACCAGAGAUCAGUUUAAGAUGCACUUGUCGCUGUUUCCAUAAAGAGGGGAGAGGGGGAGG